GAUGAACGCUGGCGGCGUGCCUAAUACAUGCAAGUCGAGCGAACAGACGAGGAGCUUGCUCCUCUGACGUUAGCGGCGGACGGGUGAGUAACACGUGGAUAACCUCCCUAUCAGACUGGGAUAACUUCGGGAAACCGGAGCUAAUACCGGAUAAUAUCUUGAACCGCAUGGUUCAAUAGUGAAAGACGGUUUUGCUGUCUCUUAUAGAUGGAUCCGCGCCGCAUUAGCUAGUUGGUAAGGUAACGGCUUACCAAGGCAACGAUGCGUAGCCGAACUGAGAGGGUGAUCGGCCACACUGGAACUGAGACACGGUCCAGACUCCUACGGGAGGCAGCAGUAGGGAAUCUUCCGCAAUGGGCGAAAGCCUGACGGAGCAACGCCGCGUGAGUGAUGAAGGUCUUCGGAUCGUAAAACUCUGUUAUUAGGGAAGAACAAAUGUGUAAGUAACUAUGCACGUCUUGACGGUACCUAAUCAGAAAGCCACGGCUAACUACGUG
RNAcentral lists this ribosomal RNA (497 nucleotides) under uncultured bacterium. RNAcentral describes it as "partial 16S ribosomal RNA". It matches the Rfam family "Bacterial small subunit ribosomal RNA", at positions 28 to 507 of the family's 1533-position model. The record is from RNAcentral.